RNAcentral lists this ribosomal RNA (634 nucleotides) under uncultured Marinobacter sp. RNAcentral's name for it is "bacterial SSU rRNA". It matches the Rfam family "Bacterial small subunit ribosomal RNA", at positions 870 to 1504 of the family's 1533-position model. Lineage: Bacteria; Pseudomonadati; Pseudomonadota; Gammaproteobacteria; Pseudomonadales; Marinobacteraceae. The record is from RNAcentral.
CGCCUGGGGAGUACGGCCGCAAGGUUAAAACUCAAAUGAAUUGACGGGGGCCCGCACAAGCGGUGGAGCAUGUGGUUUAAUUCGACGCAACGCGAAGAACCUUACCUGGCCUUGACAUCCAGAGAGCUUUCCAGAGAUGGAUUGGUGCCUUCGGGAACUCUGAGACAGGUGCUGCAUGGCCGUCGUCAGCUCGUGUCGUGAGAUGUUGGGUUAAGUCCCGUAACGAGCGCAACCCCUAUCCCUGGUUGCUAGCAGGUAAUGCUGAGAACUCCAGGGAGACUGCCGGUGACAAACCGGAGGAAGGUGGGGAUGACGUCAGGUCAUCAUGGCCCUUACGGCCAGGGCUACACACGUGCUACAAUGGCGCGUACAGAGGGCUGCCAACUCGCGAGAGUGAGCCAAUCCCUUAAAACGCGUCGUAGUCCGGAUCGGAGUCUGCAACUCGACUCCGUGAAGUCGGAAUCGCUAGUAAUCGCGAAUCAGAAUGUCGCGGUGAAUACGUUCCCGGGCCUUGUACACACCGCCCGUCACACCAUGGGAGUGGAUUGCACAGAAGUAGUUAGUCUAACCUUCGGGAGGACGAUUACCACGGUGUGGUUCAUGACUGGGGUGAAGUCGUAACAAGGUAACCGUA